This is a long non-coding RNA of Danio aesculapii, 2626 nucleotides long. RefSeq lists it as uncharacterized. The record is from RefSeq and is a predicted model, not a curated record. The transcript has 3 exons. Lineage: Eukaryota; Metazoa; Chordata; Actinopteri; Cypriniformes; Danionidae.
GUUUAAAAAUUUGGAUUUGACAAAUUUCUUGAACCUUUUAUAAAAGAGUUAAAAUCUCUGGAGCACGAAGGUUUGUUUGUGGAAGCUUUAGGACGUUAUAUAAAGCCAACGGUAUUCUGUGUGUGUGCCGAUAAUCUUGGAGCACAUGGUCUUGCUGGGUUUCAGGAAAAUUUCAAUGUAGAAAAAUUCUGUCGAUUCUGUUUGAUUAGUCGUGAUCAGAUCUCAACUGUAAAACCUUGUGACUUUCCGUUGAGAACUGUGGAUCAACAUGAUUUAUUUGUAGAACAGCUUAAGCAGAGUGCUAUUCAGAGUGUUAAUGGUAUAAAGAGUGAGUGUGCAUUGAGCAAACACUUAAGAUACUUUCAUCCUGUAACUGGAUUUCUCCCGGACAUUUUACAUGAUUUCUUUGAAGGGGUCAUCCCUGCGGAAUUAUCUUUGUGCCUCAGAGACUUGAUUUCCAAAGGUUUCAUUACUCUUGAAGGAGUAAAUCACUCCAUUAGAACAUUUCCUUACAAGUACUCCGCCAGGGUCAACAAACCAAAGACAAUUCUACAAACAGGCCUUGCUAAAGGAUCAAUCGGAGGAAAUGGACACGAAAAUUGGACGUUAUUGCGCUUACUUCCUCUGAUGAUUGGGGAUCGUAUCCCAGAGCAUGAGCCAUCAUGGGACAUAUUAAUGGACCUAAAAGAAAUUGUUGAGAUUGUUUUGUCAAACAGUCUCUCUGAUGAAACUCUGUGUUACUUGUCAUUUAAAUUGUCUGACCACCGCUUGCUUCUUAUUUCCACUUUUCCAGACUAUGCAUUAAAGCCUAAGCAUCACUUUAUUGAACACUACCCAGAACUAACUAAAUGUUUUGGACCUUUAGUGACUUUGUGGACCAUGAGAUUUGAGUCUAAGCACUCUUUCUUCAAGAAGGUUGCGCGUGAUGCCCACAACAUGAAAAAUGUACUUCUCACUCUUUCCAUGAAACAUCAACAAAUGAUUGCAUACCAUUUGGAUGCACAAAGCCUUUUAAAGUCAGACUUGCAUGUUGACAAGUUGGAUGUGGUUAGCACAUCAUUGUUGGAUGCAACCCUGAGGCAUGCUGUACAAAUAAAGUUCCCACAGUUGCACACUGUGUCACUGUCCAGAGACGUUUGUCUUCAUGGAACUAGAUAUGCCCAGGACAUGAUCAUAUCGGCAGGACACUGCAAUGGACAGCCUGAGUUCUUCAGAAUUGAAUACAUGUUGAUCCAUUCUGCCAAAGUGUCCUUUAUAACAAAAAGGGUUUCUGCUUGGUAUUUAGAACAUUUGAGAUCUUAUGAACUUGUUGAAAGCCACUAUGCUGACAUGGUUAUCUUUGACUCUGGUGACCUAAAUGGCUAUCACCCAUUAAUUCCAUACAGUGUGGGAUCAAAAGUGUUUGUGACCCUGAGGACCUAUUUGCAGCAUUAAAUGUCCUUUACAAUGCCUUUGCUACUACGAGUCAUCAUUUCCUCCACUGAAGCCCGGCGAGUCCAGCUUCCUGAAGUGCCUGAAUCAGUGGAAUCUCUCAUCAAUAUUCUUCAAGAGAAGCUGCAAAUACAAGGACAGUUUUCCCUUAAGUUUGAGGAUGCUGAUUUUGGCAAUGCACUUUGUAACCUGUCUGACAUCUCAGAAUUGCCAAGUGAAAAAGCAGUCUUGCAUAAUCAGGGGUGCAAGUCAUCAGCUUAUGAAACCAGUAGCCUUCCAUCAGUUUCAUCACUUGAUACUGCUAGUCUCGACUCCUCUGAAGAAUCCUUGCCAAGCACUUCAGGCUCUAUGCAAAACUAUUUACGCACUGCCUCAGAAUGGCCCUCGCCAUUUCCCAUACCAGUGCUGUCAUUUGAUGUGGAGCUAAAACUAAGACGAGGAAACGAGGCAUUUGAAAAAACAAAAAUAGGCGUUGAUGUGACUAGAGACAUGAAAAUAGAGAUUCUUGACAAAAUAGUGCAGACAGUUUUUGAUAUUAAGGCGUACCCUGACAAUCAGGAAAUUGAAUCCAUUGCAUCUGCAUUGGUUUUCAAAUAUCCUUGCCUUAAGGAGCCUGGCAAAGGAAAGGGUUUUGAGGGGUGGUUGAUUAGCAUCAAGAACAAGCUAAACAAUUAUAGAGGGGUGGUUGAUUAGCAUCAAGAACAAGCUAAACAAUUAUAGGGCAAAGUUGCGAGUGGCAGGUUGCAAUGAAGUAAUUGUUAACAGGAAGCGAAACGAUGAUGCCAGUAGUCGGAGGAGUUUCACUCUGAAAAAGGCAAAGCGUGGAGAAGUCAAUCAUGUACCGGAACAUCCAUGCAACCACACUGACACUUCACUUGAAGAGCAAAGAAUUAUUUUGGUAGAGGAAACCAAAAAGGCAAGAAGAGACAUGGCAGCCAUAAGUGAAAAAAUGGAACUAACAUUUUCCCUUAGAAGAAAAGAAAUGGUCCAAGAGCAGCCAAUGAUUGUAGAGGUUCAGGAGAGGUGGCCUGCACUCUUUUUCCAAGAACAGAUCUGUGAGGAAUUUUUCCACAUCACCAACAAAGACCUUCUAGGAGUCUUCAUGGCAGCCACUGACAAGUACACACCAAAGCUUCUGAAGUUAUACAGAGCCAGAAAAGGAGCAUGAAAUGGAAGAGCUCCUGGAAAGACUUGA